GACGAACGCUGGCGGCGUGCUUAACACAUGCAAGUCGAACGGAAAGGCCCUGCUUGCAGGGUACUCGAGUGGCGAACGGGUGAGUAACACGUGGGUGAUCUGCCCUGCACUUCGGGAUAAGCCUGGGAAACUGGGUCUAAUACCGGAUAGGAGCCAUUUUUAGUGUGAUGGUUGGAAAGUUUGUUCGGUGUAGGAUGAGCUCGCGGCCUAUCAGCUUGUUGGUGGGGUAAUGGCCUACCAAGGCGGCGACGGGUAGCCGGCCUGAGAGGGUGGACGGCCACAUUGGGACUGGGAGACGGCCCAGACUCCUACGGGAGGCAGCAGUGGGGAAUAUUGCACAAUGGGCGCAAGCCUGAUGCAGCGACGCCGCGGGGGGGAUGACGGCCUUCGGGUUGUAAACUCCUUUCGCUAUGGACGAAGCUUUUUGUGACGGUACCUAGAUAAGAAGCACCGGCUAACUACGUG
This 465-nucleotide ribosomal RNA is filed under the name uncultured bacterium. RNAcentral's name for it is "partial 16S ribosomal RNA". It matches the Rfam family "Bacterial small subunit ribosomal RNA", at positions 28 to 507 of the family's 1533-position model. The record is from RNAcentral.